GACGAACCGUGCAAACGUUAUUCGGAAUCACUGGGCAUAAAGGGCGCGUAGGCGGCUUUCUAAGUCAGGGGUGAAAUCCGGCAGCUCAACUGUCGCAGUGCCUUUGAUACUGGAGAGCUCGAGGGAGGUAGGGGUCUGUGGAACUUCCGGUGGAGCGGUGAAAUGCGUUGAUAUCGGAAGGAACGCCGGUGGCGAAGGCGGCAUCCUGGACCAAUACUGACGCUGAGGUGCGAAAGCGUGGGGAGCGAACAGG
RNAcentral lists this ribosomal RNA (253 nucleotides) under uncultured bacterium. RNAcentral describes it as "partial 16S ribosomal RNA". It matches the Rfam family "Bacterial small subunit ribosomal RNA", at positions 524 to 776 of the family's 1533-position model. The record is from RNAcentral.